This 310-nucleotide unclassified non-coding RNA is filed under the name plant metagenome. Its description in RNAcentral is "partial contains 5.8S ribosomal RNA, internal transcribed spacer 2, and large subunit ribosomal RNA". The stretch from base 1 to 105 matches the Rfam family "5.8S ribosomal RNA", at positions 50 to 154 of the family's 154-position model. The record is from RNAcentral.
GAAAUGCGAUAAGUAAUGUGAAUUGCAGAAUUCAGUGAAUCAUCGAACCUUUGAACGCACAUUGCGCCCGCCAGUAUUCUGGCGGGCAUGCCUGUUCGAGCGUCAUUUCAACCAUCAAGCCCCCGGGCUUGUGUUGGGGACCUGCGGCUGCCGCAGGCCCCGAAAACCAGUGGCGGGCUCGCUGUCACACCGGGCGUAGUAGAUUUUUCGUCUCGCCCAGGGCGUGCUGCGGGUUCCGGCCGUUAAAAAGCCUCUCUUUUUAACCCAAGGUUGACCUCGGAUCAGGUAGGAAGACCCGCUGAACUUAAGC